This is a long non-coding RNA of Leptopilina heterotoma, 633 nucleotides long. RefSeq lists it as uncharacterized. NCBI's taxonomy places the organism in Eukaryota, Metazoa, Arthropoda, Insecta, Hymenoptera, Figitidae. The record is from RefSeq and is a predicted model, not a curated record. The transcript has 3 exons.
UGUAAAGAAGGAACAACAGUGAAUUUUUAAAACGAUAUUUUAAAUUAUAAUUCUGGUUGUAAAUAUACGGACAUAACCAUGAAAAUUUUAAUGCUAUACUAUCAGUAUUUUUACUAUGUGUUAUUUUGACAGAACAAAAAUCAAAAUACGUGAAUUGCCCUAAUGAACACAAAUAUAUGUCAAAUCCGAAAAUAAAAGAUGGAUGCUUUGAAGUUAUCUGUAAAAGUGGGAACUGUCCACAUAUAAAAUGUGAAAUUGGAAAACCAGCAACGCAUUACAAUAAAUCAAACAUUUACCCUGAUUGCUGUGACGAUUUAUCUGAUUAUUAAUAAUUAUUUACCCCGGGCAUUUAUUUCUCAAACAUUUUUAAUAAUUAGAACUUUUUUGUUAGUAAUAAUUAAAAAAUAUAAAGUAAAAUAUUCUACAAGUAAAAAAAUGUAGUUCUUUCUUUCCAAAUAAAGAAAGACUUAGUAUUAGUAUAGGUAAAUAUAAUUUAAUACUCUUAAACUGCUAAUUGACCCAAUUAAUUGUAUAAUCAUUUGCGAUAAAAGUAAAGGAAAUAAUGUUGAAUAAAACUUUAAAAGACACAUAUACGGAGAUUAUUAUUAGGACCUUGAAUUUUAAUGUUAAGGG